RNAcentral lists this transfer RNA (85 nucleotides) under Ulva prolifera. RNAcentral describes it as "tRNA-Ile". RNAcentral also lists the same sequence under 1 other name. The record is from RNAcentral. Lineage: Eukaryota; Viridiplantae; Chlorophyta; Ulvophyceae; Ulvales; Ulvaceae.
UGCAUCCAGUGGGGUUUGAACCCACGACGUCCUUUUGGGAAGCGGAUUAUGAGCCCGCUGCUUUCGACCACUCAGCCACAGAUGC